Long non-coding RNA from Empidonax traillii (willow flycatcher), 502 nucleotides. RefSeq lists it as uncharacterized. The transcript has 4 exons. The record is from RefSeq and is a predicted model, not a curated record. NCBI's taxonomy places the organism in Eukaryota, Metazoa, Chordata, Aves, Passeriformes, Tyrannidae.
GAGCAGAGCCCAAAUGAGAAUGCUAAAGGCAACACAACCCCCCAGGACAUUGUUUUCCAGUCCAUGAGCAGAAGCUUUUGGCUGCGGCAGAAGUUCCCCUCUGUCUCAUCUGAAGCUUCUCUAAAGCAUUUGCCAAUGCCCUGAUGUUCCCCCCACCCAAAGGGAAUUAAUGGCUGAGCUGGAAUGAAGAGCACAGCACAGAGAGCAGGCAUGGCCCAGACCUCACAGCACUAAUUAUGCCCUUGAAGGGACUGAACUGCUAAUUUUGGGCAGUCACAGGAGCUGCUCUGGAAAUGCCUGCUAGAGGUAAGUUUUUCCCUUUCCUUAUGCCUUUAUUGCCCCUUCACCUUUUCCUCCUGUACUUUCCCAGUGACAACUUAUUUUGUUCCAACUCACUGGAGAAUCAAGUCAGCUUUAUUAAUGCAAAUAACCAUUAACUUAAUUAACAUGAUAUAAGAAACAGAGAGUAGUUCAAAGAAGACUUAUAUGGACACUGGGGGAA